This 253-nucleotide ribosomal RNA is filed under the name uncultured bacterium. Its description in RNAcentral is "partial 16S ribosomal RNA". It matches the Rfam family "Bacterial small subunit ribosomal RNA", at positions 524 to 776 of the family's 1533-position model. The record is from RNAcentral.
UACGUAGGGGGCUAGCGUUGUCCGGAAUCAUUGGGCGUAAAGCGCGUGUAGGCGGUCCGGUAAGUCCGCUGUGAAAGUCGGGGGCUCAACCCUCGGAUGCCGUUGGAUACUGUCGGGCUUGAGUACGGAAGAGGCGAGUGGAAUUCCUGGUGUAGCGGUGAAAUGCGCAGAUAUCAGGAGGAACACCAAUUGCGAAGGCAGCUCGCUGGGACGUUACUGACGCUGAGACGCGAAAGCGUGGGGAGCAAACAGG